This 1554-nucleotide ribosomal RNA is filed under the name human metagenome. RNAcentral describes it as "bacterial LSU rRNA". It matches the Rfam family "Bacterial large subunit ribosomal RNA", at positions 1350 to 2925 of the family's 2925-position model. The record is from RNAcentral.
GUUUCCAGGGGAAGGUUUGUCCGCCCUGGGGGAGUCGGGACCUAAGCAUAAGCAAAAAUGUGAUGGCGAAUGGAAAACAGGUUAAUAUUCCUGUACCGCUGUUAUCGCCUGAGAGACGGAGUGACGCAGGAAGGUAUGCGGGAAGGCUGACGGAAUAGCCUUUCUAAGGGCGUAGCAUGGGCAUGCAGGAAAAUCCGCAUGCCUAAAUGUGAGACCUGACGGGUAAGUGCAUCUUGCAUAAGCCGCAGAUCCUACACUGCCGAGAAAAACUUCUAUCGAUGAGAACCAGCGCCCGUACUGUAAACCGACACAGGUGGACAGAGUGAGAAACUUAAGGCCGACAGGAUAACUCUAGCUAAGGAACUCUGCAAAAUAGCCCCGUAACUUCGGGAGAAGGGGUGCCUGAUAUACUUGAGGGGAGAGACACCCUGAGGGGAAACAGGCCGCAGUGAAGAGUCCCAAGCAACUGUUUACCAAAAACACAGGUCUAUGCUAAGCUGAAAGGCGACGUAUAUGGGCUGACACCUGCCCAGUGCCGGAAGGUUAAGAGGAGGAUUGAGAGAUUCGAAUUGAAGCCCCGGUGAACGGCGGCCGUAACUAUAACGGUCCUAAGGUAGCGAAAUUCCUUGUCGGGUAAGUUCCGACCUGCACGAAUGGUGAAAUGAUUUGGGAGCUGUCUUGGCUGGAGACCUGGUGAAGUUGUAAUGCCGGUGAAGAUACCGGCUACCUGCAGUAGGACGGAAAGACCCCGUGGAGCUUUACUGUAGUUUGGCAUUGGGUUCUGGCCGCAUGUGUAUAGGAUAGUUGGGAGACUGUGAAGCCAAGGCGUCAGUCUUGGCAGAGUCGCCGUUGGAAUACCAACCAUAUGCCGUCGGAAUUCUAAUCUGGAAACGGAGACAGUGCUAGAUGGGCAGUUUGACUGGGGCGGUCGCCUCCCAAAGAGUAACGGAGGCGUUCAAAGGUUCCCUCAGGCUGGAUGGAAAUCAGCCUAAGAGUGCAAACGCAUAAGGGAGCUUGACUGCAAGACUGACGGGUCGAGCAGGCACGAAAGUGGGAGUUAGUGAUCCGGCGGUUCCGUAUGGAAGGACCGUCGCUCAACGGAUAAAAGCUACCCCGGGGAUAACAGGCUGAUACUUCCCAAGAGUCCAUAUCGACGGAAGUGUUUGGCACCUCGAUGUCGGCUCGUCUCAUCCUGGGGCUGGAGAAGGUCCCAAGGGUUGGGCUGUUCGCCCAUUAAAGAGGCACGCGAGCUGGGUUCAGAACGUCGUGAGACAGUUCGGUCCCUAUCCACUGCAGGCGCUUGAGCACUGAAAAGAUCUGACCUUAGUACGAGAGGACCGGGUUGGACAGACCUCUGAUGUACCAGUUGUCACGCCAGUGGCAUGGCUGGGUAGUCACGUCUGGGACGGAUAACCGCUGAAAGCAUCUAAGCGGGAAGCCGGCUUUGAGAUGAGUGUUCGCAGUAUCCAUGGAGAACACAUGGUUGAUAGGCCAGGGGUGCAAGCGCAGCAAUGCGUUCAGCUGACUGGUACUAAUAUUACGUAUGCUUUUUAU